RNAcentral lists this transfer RNA (71 nucleotides) under Hemidactylus greeffii (Greeffs giant gecko). RNAcentral describes it as "tRNA-Asn". Lineage: Eukaryota; Metazoa; Chordata; Lepidosauria; Squamata; Gekkonidae. The record is from RNAcentral.
UAGGUUGAAVCCCSCUGGCUUGGGUGUUUAGUUGUUAAUUAAAAAAUUACGGGAUCAAGGCCCGUCASCCU